AGUGAACGCUGGCGGUAGGCCUAACACAUGCAAGUCGAACGGCAGCACAGUAAGAGCUUGCUCUUACGGGUGGCGAGUGGCGGACGGGUGAGGAAUACAUCGGAAUCUACUUUUUCGUGGGGGAUAACGUAGGGAAACUUACGCUAAUACCGCAUACGACCUACGGGUGAAAGCAGGGGAUCUUCGUACCUUGCGCGAUUGAAUGAGCCGAUGUCGGAUUAGCUAGUUGGCGGGGUAAAGGCCCACCAAGGCGACGAUCCGUAGCUGGUCUGAGAGGAUGAUCAGCCACACUGGAACUGAGACACGGUCCAGACUCCUAAGGGAGGCAGCAGUGGGGAAUAUUGGACAAUGGGCGCAAGCCUGAUCCAGCCAUACCGCGUGGGUGAAGAAGGCCUUCGGGUUGUAAAGCCCUUUUGUUGGGAAAGAAAAGCAGCAGGUUAAUACCCCGCUGUUCUGACGGUACCCAAAGAAUAAGCACCGGCUAACUUCGUG
This 492-nucleotide ribosomal RNA is filed under the name uncultured bacterium. Its description in RNAcentral is "partial 16S ribosomal RNA". It matches the Rfam family "Bacterial small subunit ribosomal RNA", at positions 29 to 507 of the family's 1533-position model. The record is from RNAcentral.